UACGGAGGGGGCUAGCGUUGUUCGGAAUUACUGGGCGUAAAGCGCACGUAGGCGGCUUUGUAAGUUAGAGGUGAAAGCCCAGGGCUCAACCCUGGAAUUGCCUUUAAGACUGCAUCGCUAGAAUUGUGGAGAGGUAAGUGGAAUUCCGAGUGUAGAGGUGAAAUUCGUAGAUAUUAGGAAGAACACCGGUGGCGAAGGCGGCCCACUGGAUCGGUACUGACGCUGAGGUGCGAAAGCGUGGGGAGCAAACAGG
This 253-nucleotide ribosomal RNA is filed under the name uncultured bacterium. RNAcentral's name for it is "partial 16S ribosomal RNA". It matches the Rfam family "Bacterial small subunit ribosomal RNA", at positions 524 to 776 of the family's 1533-position model. The record is from RNAcentral.